UCCUACGGGAGGCAGCAGUAGGGAAUAUUGGGCAAUGGAGGCAACUCUGACCCAGCCAUGCCGCGUGCAGGAAGAAGGUCCUCUGGAUUGUAAACUGCUUUUGAAUGGGAAGAAACGUAGUCUUGCGAGGCUAUUUGACGGUACUAUUAGAAUAAGCACCGGCUAACUCCGUGCCAGCAGCCGCGGUAAUACGGAGGGUGCAAGCGUUAUCCGGAUUUAUUGGGUUUAAAGGGUGCGUAGGCGGCUUUAUAAGUCGAUGGUUAAAGGCAGCAGCUUAACUGUAUGCAUGCCCUCGAUACUGUAGAGCUUGAGUGAUUUGGAGGUGGCUAGAAUUCCCUGUGUAGCGGUGAAAUGCAUAGAUACGGGGAGGAAUACCGAUUGCGAAGGCAUGUCACUACGAAUUAACUGACGCUGAGGCACGAAAGCGUGGGGAUCAAACAGGAUUAGAUACCCUGGUAGUCCACGCCGUAAACGAUGAUUACUAGUUGUUGGCCGAUGGGUCAGUGACCAAGGGAAACCGAUAAGUAAUCCACCUGGGGAGUACGCCGGCAACGGUGAAACUCAAAGGAAUUGACGG
This 577-nucleotide ribosomal RNA is filed under the name uncultured bacterium. RNAcentral's name for it is "bacterial SSU rRNA". It matches the Rfam family "Bacterial small subunit ribosomal RNA", at positions 337 to 916 of the family's 1533-position model. The record is from RNAcentral.